GGAGGAGAGGAUGGUUGGAGGAGGAGAGGGUGGAAGUAGGAGGAUGGAGGUUGAUGGAGGAGAGGGUGGAGGUAGGAGGAAGAGAGGAUGGAGGUAGGAGAAUGGAGGUUGAUGGAGGUGAGGGUGGAGGUUGGAGGAGGAGAGGGUGGAGGUAAGAGGAGGAGAGGAUGGAGGUAGGAGGAGGAGAGGAUGGUUGGAGGAGGAGAGGGUGGAAGUAAGAGGAUGGAGGUUGGAGGAGGAGAGGGUGGAGGUUGGAGGAGGAGAGGAUGGAGGUUGGAGGAGCAGAGGAUGGAGGUUGGAGGUUGGAGGAGGAGAGGGUAGAGGUAGGAGGAGGAGAGGAUGGGAUAGGAGGAGGAAAGGGUGGAGGAUCGAGGUAGGAGGAGGAGAGGAUGGAGGUUGGAGGAGGA
Long non-coding RNA from Oncorhynchus tshawytscha (Chinook salmon), 407 nucleotides. The record is from Ensembl. NCBI's taxonomy places the organism in Eukaryota, Metazoa, Chordata, Actinopteri, Salmoniformes, Salmonidae.